RNAcentral lists this ribosomal RNA (253 nucleotides) under uncultured bacterium. RNAcentral's name for it is "partial 16S ribosomal RNA". It matches the Rfam family "Bacterial small subunit ribosomal RNA", at positions 524 to 776 of the family's 1533-position model. The record is from RNAcentral.
UACGUAGGGCGCAAGCGUUGUCCGGAAUUAUUGGGCGUAAAGAGCUCGUAGGUGGCCUGUCGCGUCGGCUGUGAAAACUCGGGGCUCAACUCCGAGCUUGCAGUCGAUACGGGCAGGCUAGAGUUCGGCAGGGGAGACUGGAAUUCCUGGUGUAGCGGUGAAAUGCGCAGAUAUCAGGAGGAACACCGGUGGCGAAGGCGGGUCUCUGGGCCGAUACUGACGCUGAGACGCGAAAGCCAGGGGAGCGAACGGG